UAAGGAAUAUUGGUCAAUGGACGCAAGUCUGAACCAGCCAUGCCGCGUGUGUGAGGAAGGCCUUCGGGUUGUAAAGCACUUUCGGACGGAACGAAAUCGCGCGGGUGAAUAUCCCGCGCGGAUGACGGUACCGUAAGAAGAAGCACCGGCUAACUACGUGCCAGCAGCCGCGGUAAUACGUAGGGUGCGAGCGUUAAUCGGAAUUACUGGGCGUAAAGUGUGCGCAGGCGGCGUCGCAAGUCGAGUGUGAAAGCCCCGGGCUUAACUUGGGAAUUGCGCUCGAAACUACGGUGCUGGAGUAUGGCAGAGGAAGGUGGAAUUCCACGUGUAGCGGUGAAAUGCGUAGAGAUGUGGAGGAACACCGAUGGCGAAGGCAGCCUUCUGGGCCAAUACUGACGCUCAUGCACGAAAGCGUGGGGAGCAAA
Molecule: ribosomal RNA, 425 nt
Filed under: uncultured bacterium
Lineage: Bacteria
Description: bacterial SSU rRNA
Rfam family: Bacterial small subunit ribosomal RNA
Source: RNAcentral